AGUAAUAUAUCGGAACGUACCCUGGAGUGGGGGAUAACGUAGCGAAAGUUACGCUAAUACCGCAUACGAUCUACGGAUGAAAGUGGGGGAUCGCAAGACCUCAUGCUCGUGGAGCGGCCGAUAUCUGAUUAGCUAGUUGGUAGGGUAAAAGCCUACCAAGGCAUCGAUCAGUAGCUGGUCUGAGAGGACGACCAGCCACACUGGAACUGAGACACGGUCCAGACUCCUACGGGAGGCAGCAGUGGGGAAUUUUGGACAAUGGGCGAAAGCCUGAUCCAGCAAUGCCGCGUGAGUGA
This 296-nucleotide ribosomal RNA is filed under the name uncultured Janthinobacterium sp. Its description in RNAcentral is "partial 16S ribosomal RNA". It matches the Rfam family "Bacterial small subunit ribosomal RNA", at positions 109 to 408 of the family's 1533-position model. Lineage: Bacteria; Pseudomonadati; Pseudomonadota; Betaproteobacteria; Burkholderiales; Oxalobacteraceae. The record is from RNAcentral.